UCAGUAGAUUGUGAGUUUUUGUAUGUUUGUUUCUGUAGGCUGUUCUCUCUCUGCUGAUAAUCCGACAACAAUCACAGGACACACAGGUGGUUCAGUGCUGUUCCCCUGCUCCUGCUCUGACCUGCACACCAAACCUCAGAAAUUCACCUGGGGGACCUUCAGAACAGGACCUGCGACAGAAAUGUUAAAUGAUGAACACUACCGUGGCAGACUUCAGCUGUUUAAUCACAUUUCUCCUGGUAAUCUGUCUCUGCUCAUAUCUGACCUGAGAGAAGAGGAUGCGGUAGACUACUGGUGCAGCACUGAGAAGGAACACAGAGACAUCACGCUUCAUGUUAAAGACAGACCAGAAGGAGACUGAGCUACAAACUGAGUUGUUCUAAUGAUCUAAAAUUAUGACUUUACGUCAGGGAAAUCCCACCGGCAGGCAGACACUACUCGAACAAACACAUGAAGCGGACAAGAUGGGGGAGUCUCUCACCGCCAUGAUUGCUUCAGCUAUGGAGAAGUUACAGUUGUUUACUGAAGCACAGUUUAAAACCCUGCAAGACAGAUUAGAUAACAUUCAGAAGGAGUUGUCCGGCUGUUACCAUUUUAAGAAAAAAAAUAAGGUAAUUUUUCAUUUGAUGGCCACAACUCAUCUCAAAAAAGUAGGGACAGGGGCAUGAUUGGGUAUAUUAAGAGUAUAUUAGAGAGGCAGAGUCUUUCCGAGUCUUUCAGAAGUAAAGAUGCGCAGAGGUUCACCUCUGUGUGCGAAAAACUGUGUCUACAAUUUGUGGAACAAUUUCACAAUAAUGUUCCUCAAUGUAAAAUUGUGAAGACUAUGAAUAUCUCUUCAUCUACAGUACAUAAUAUCAUCAAAAGAUUCUGAGAAUCUGGAGAAAUCUCUGUGCGCAAGGGACAAGGGUGAAAGUCAAUACUGCAUGCCCGUGAGAUUUGAAAUUCUUUUUGGAAACCAUGGACACCGUGUCCUCUACACUAAAGAGGACUAAAUAGGAGAGGGACCAUCCAGCUUUUUAUAAGCACUCAGUUCAAAAGCCUGCAUCUCUGAUGGUAUGGGGGUGCAUUAGUGCCUAUGGAAUGGGCAGCUUGCACAUCUGGAAAGGCACCAUCAAUGCUGAAAGGUAUAUACAGGUUUUAGAGCAACAUAGGCUUCCAUCCAGAUUCCAUCCCAUCUUUACUUCUGAGAGACUCUGCCUCUCUAGGAUACUCUUUUUAUUCCUAAUCAUGUUACUGCCCUGUUGUCAAUUAACCUAAUUAGUUGCAAAAUGUUCCUCCAGCUGUUUCUUUUUAGUAACACUUACUUUUCCAGCCUUUAGUUUCCCCCGUACCAACUUUUUUGAGACGUGUUGCGGUCAUCAAAUUCAAAAUUACCUUAUUUUUUCCAUACGCUAAAAUUCCAUCAGAAUGCU
Ictalurus furcatus (blue catfish) is the source of this 1412-nucleotide long non-coding RNA. RefSeq lists it as uncharacterized. NCBI's taxonomy places the organism in Eukaryota, Metazoa, Chordata, Actinopteri, Siluriformes, Ictaluridae. The record is from RefSeq and is a predicted model, not a curated record. The transcript is spliced from 3 exons.